ACAAUUCAGUGCUAUCAUCAGUUCUGAGACAAUAUUUUUCUUACUCUCGUUCAUGUUUCUCUCUAGUUCCUGGUUCUGUGAUUAGACAAACACCUGAAACACACAAGAAAAAGAAAAGAGAAAGACUAAGUAAAUAAAAAGAAAAAGAAAAAUAGAAGCUUAGACAAAAUUUAAUGGUGAAUCGUAGAGAACUUCGGCAACGGCGCCAAAUUUGAUAUGGUUCAAAUUGCCAUAAGACCACUCUCUCAAAUAAGAGAUCGAUUGUAGCACUUAAUGGUUGAAUUCCACAAAGCUCUCAGAUCACAAAAUAGACCAAGGUUUUGAAUUAAGCUAAGUAAAA
Molecule: small RNA, 340 nt
Filed under: Arabidopsis thaliana (thale cress)
Lineage: Eukaryota; Viridiplantae; Streptophyta; Magnoliopsida; Brassicales; Brassicaceae
Description: ATSL091720
Source: RNAcentral